Molecule: ribosomal RNA, 200 nt
Filed under: uncultured prokaryote
Description: partial 16S ribosomal RNA
Rfam family: Bacterial small subunit ribosomal RNA
Source: RNAcentral
ACGUCAAAUCAUCAUGCCCCUUACGUCUAGGGCUACAGGCGUGCUACAAUGGCUGGUACAAAAAGAUGCAAUAUAGUGAUAUGGAGCAAAUCUCAAAAACCAGUCUCAGUUCGGAUUGGAGUCUGCAACUCGACUCCAUGAAGUUGGAAUCGCUAGUAAUCCUGAAUCAGAAUGUCAGGGUGAAUACGUUCCCGGGUGUU